CGAUUGUGGCGGCAGCUAACACAUGCAAGUCGAGCGGAUGAAGGGAGCUUGCUCCCUGAUUUAGCGGCGGACGGGUGAGUAAUGCCUAGGAAUCUGCCUGGUAGUGGGGGAUAACGUUCCGAAAGGAACGCUAAUACCGCAUACGUCCUACGGGAGAAAGCAGGGGACCUUCGGGCCUUGCGCUAUCAGAUGAGCCUAGGUCGGAUUAGCUAGUUGGUGAGGUAAUGGCUCACCAAGGCGACGAUCCGUAACUGGUCUGAGAGGAUGAUCAGUCACACUGGAACUGAGACACGGCCCAGACUCCUACGGGAGGCAGCAGUGGGGAAUAUUGGACAAUGGGCGAAAGCCUGAUCCAGCCAUGCCGCGUGUGUGAAGAAGGUCUUCGGAUUGUAAAGCACUUUAAGUUGGGAGGAAGGGCAUUAACCUAAUACGUUAGUGUUUUGACGUUACCGACAGAAUAAGCACCGGCUAACUUCGUGCCAGCAGCCGCGGUAAUACGAAGGGUGCAAGCGUUAAUCGGAAUUACUGGGCGUAAAGCGCGCGUAGGUGGUUCGUUAAGUUGGAUGUGAAAGCCCCGGGCUCAACCUGGGAACUGCAUCCAAAACUGGCGAGCUAGAGUACGGUAGAGGGUGGAGGAAUUUCCUGUGUAGCGGUGAAAUGCGUAGAUAUAGGAAGGAACACCAGUGGCGAAGGCGACCACCUGGACUGAUACUGACACUGAGGUGCGAAAGCGUGGGGAGCAAACAGGAUUAGAUACCCUGGUAGUCCACGCCGUAAACGAUGUCAACUAGCCGUUGGGUUCCUUGAGAACUUAGUGGCGCAGCUAACGCAUUAAGUUGACCGCCUGGGGAGUACGGCCGCAAGGUUAAAACUCAAAUGAAUUGACGGGGGCCCGCACAAGCGGUGGGAGCAUGUGGUUUAUUCGAAGCAACGCUAAGAACCUUACCUGGCCUUGACAUGCUGAGAACUUUCCAAAGAUGGAUUGGUGCCUUCGGGAACUCAGACACAAGGUGCUGCAUGGCUUGUCGUCAG
RNAcentral lists this ribosomal RNA (1032 nucleotides) under uncultured bacterium. RNAcentral's name for it is "bacterial SSU rRNA". It matches the Rfam family "Bacterial small subunit ribosomal RNA", at positions 34 to 1058 of the family's 1533-position model. The record is from RNAcentral.